AAAGAAGGAGAUUAGGACAUUUAGAGAAGGAGGGCGGGGAGGAGAGAUCCUGAGAAUAGAAAGGAGGAAAGAAAAAAAGAGGAAUGGAAAGAGACAGAGAAAGGAAAUGGGAGUGGAAGGAGGGAGGACUGCUUUGUAACUGCUAAGAUUGCAGACAGAAAUAGCACACAACCACUGUGAGCUGUAUGCGAUUCAGAAACCAAGACCAAAUUUUGCUCACUUUCAUUAAUCAGUUGCUCAGAGAGAAGGAAAUGACAUCUGGUUCUGUCUUCUUCUACAUCUUAAUUAUUGGAAAAUAUUUACUUCCUCCUGAAGAAUGAACUUUCAAACUAUUUUUUAUUAACACUCCAUCUCCCACCUAGAAUCAAAUAGUAUUACAACAGCUAGUACUGCCUCUUCCUUUGACACAGAAGAAAACCUAAAAUCCAGUAAGACAGAGUGGCAUGCCAAAUUUGCCCAUCAAUUUAUUGGCACAUUCAAGAAUAAAGCAAAACUCUACUGAAUAUCAAUAUAGUAGUAUCUGCCUCUGAGGAUUCUUGGUGCAUAUUUUUGCAUUCUGUCAUGUUUCGUCCAUUUUGCCCCUACCUUGGGCAUUUAAAUAUAAAGAUUCCCAUGAGAUCGGAUCAAUUCAGCUUUUUAUUUCUAGAAAUGUCUAUAAAGAGAAGAACUAACAAGAGAACCAUCUUUUUAUUUUUUAAAUUUACUUCCUAAAUAUAAAUGAAGGAGAAUCUAGAACCACUGUCUUCAUUGGAA
RNAcentral lists this small RNA (753 nucleotides) under Pan troglodytes (chimpanzee). Its description in RNAcentral is "processed transcript". The record is from RNAcentral. Lineage: Eukaryota; Metazoa; Chordata; Mammalia; Primates; Hominidae.